GACGAACGCUGGCGGCGUGCUUAACACAUGCAAGUCGAACGCUGAAGCUCAGCUUUUGUUGGGUGGGUGAGUGGCGAACGGGUGAGUAACACGUGAGUAACCUGCCUCCUUCUUUGGGAUAACGCCCGGAAACGGGUGCUAAUACUGGAUAUUCACUGGUCUUCGCAUGGGGGUUGGUGGAAAGGGUUUUUCUGGUGGGGGAUGGGCUCGCGGCCUAUCAGCUUGUUGGUGGGGUGAUGGCCUACCAAGGCUUUGACGGGUAGCCGGCCUGAGAGGGUGACCGGUCACAUUGGGACUGAGAUACGGCCCAGACUCCUACGGGAGGCAGCAGUGGGGAAUAUUGCACAAUGGGCGCAAGCCUGAUGCAGCGACGCCGCGUGAGGGAUGGAGGCCUUCGGGUUGUGAACCUCUUUCGCUCAUGGUCAAGCCGCAACAAUGGUUGUGGUGAGGGUAGUGGGUAAAGAAGCGCCGGCUAACUACGUG
This 483-nucleotide ribosomal RNA is filed under the name uncultured bacterium. RNAcentral describes it as "partial 16S ribosomal RNA". It matches the Rfam family "Bacterial small subunit ribosomal RNA", at positions 28 to 507 of the family's 1533-position model. The record is from RNAcentral.